AGCUUUUUUGUAUACUGGCCAGCCAGACCAGUGGACUUAAAAUCUACUGGUCCGGCUUAAAAUUUACUGGUUCUGCAAAAAUGACAUUCAUUUGAUAACCACUAAAAGAUAUGACGGAUGUUUAGUUUUAUUUUUUUUUUCUCAGCUGCUUUCCUCUUCUUUUUAUUUCAGUAGAUUUUUGUGCUGUUCUGUUUGUUCAUGAGCAAGUACAAAAUCUUUUUAAAAUUUUAAGAUCCCGUUACAAAAAUACAUUUCUCAUCUAGGUUUGUCACUGCAAAUUGUUCACAUGUUUUACAAUGCAUUACAUUACAAUCGACUUUACAAUUUAACCAUUCGAGAUCUUUUUCCCAGGAUAUUUUAUAUUUACGUUUUUUUUUGUCAGUUUGAAAAAUCUUCCUUUUGAAUGUCGCUUAAUUAAUUAAUUUGUUUUGCCCUGCGUUUUAACGCCAUUAAAAAAUUUCCACAUUUUGUGUUGUUGUGUAGUGCGCUCAUUUGAGAUAUUAAUUAAAUACUUUUAAAACAGUACCGCCAGUACCCUAAAAAUAAUUU
RNAcentral lists this long non-coding RNA (549 nucleotides) under Mytilus galloprovincialis (Mediterranean mussel). Lineage: Eukaryota; Metazoa; Mollusca; Bivalvia; Mytilida; Mytilidae. The record is from RNAcentral.